UUGCUAAAAUACUUUGAUCAUCGGAAUAGUCUUGUUUCUUAAUACUCACUUAUGUAUAUUUAAUAUGCCUAUUGAUACCUCUUCAUAGGACAUAUCUUUCUCAAUAGGAAUAUCUUCAUACUAAAGUACAUGAAAUAAAUCAGGAUGAUACUUGCGUAGUAUUGACACAUGAAAAACAUCAUAAAUAUUAGCUAACUCUGGUGGCGAUGCUAGCCAGUAAACAGUAGUCCGAACUCUUUUUAGUAUUUCGAAUGGUCUAAUGAAGUGAUGGCUCAAUUUGUCUUUCUUCUCAAAUCUCAUAAUGCCUUUCAUU
Molecule: long non-coding RNA, 313 nt
Filed under: Carica papaya (papaya)
Lineage: Eukaryota; Viridiplantae; Streptophyta; Magnoliopsida; Brassicales; Caricaceae
Description: long non-coding RNA (CPAP_LNC003218)
Source: RNAcentral